GCGGAGUAGUUCAGUGGUAGAACAUUAGGUUGCGGGUUACUGCCUAAGUGUCGCCGGUUCGAAUCCGGCUUCCGCU
This 76-nucleotide transfer RNA is filed under the name Caudoviricetes sp. Its description in RNAcentral is "tRNA-Arg". It matches the Rfam family "tRNA". From Rfam's summary of the family: Transfer RNA (tRNA) molecules are approximately 80 nucleotides in length. Their secondary structure includes four short double-helical elements and three loops (D, anti-codon, and T loops). The record is from RNAcentral. Lineage: Duplodnaviria; Heunggongvirae; Uroviricota; Caudoviricetes.